AUACGGAGGAUGCAAGCGUUAUCCGGAUUUAUUGGGUUUAAAGGGUGCGUAGGCUGUUUGUCAAGUCAGGGGUGAAAUACCUGAGCCUAACUCAGGAACUGCCUUUGAUACUGGCAGGCUGGAAUACGGAUGCCGUGGGAGGCAUGAGUAGUGUAGCGGUGAAAUGCAUAGAUAUUACUCAGAACACCGAUUGCGAAGGCAUCUCACGAAUCCGUCAUUGACGCUGAGGCACGAAAGCGUGGGGAUCAAACAGGAUUAGAUACCCUGGUAGUCCACGCAGUAAACGAUGAUAACUAACCGUCGGCGAUAGAGUGUCGGUGGCCAAGCGAAAGCGAUAAGUUAUCCACCUGGGGAGUACGUUCGCAAGAAUGAAACUCAAAGGAAUUGACGGGG
RNAcentral lists this ribosomal RNA (393 nucleotides) under uncultured bacterium. Its description in RNAcentral is "partial 16S ribosomal RNA". It matches the Rfam family "Bacterial small subunit ribosomal RNA", at positions 523 to 918 of the family's 1533-position model. The record is from RNAcentral.